AGAAUCAACGCUGGCGGCGUGCCUAACACAUGCAAGUCGAACGAGAAAGGGGAGCAAUCCCUGAGUAAAGUGGCGCACGGGUGAGUAACACGUGACUAACCUACCCUGGAGUGGGGGAUAACUGAGGGAAACCUUAGCUAAUACCGCAUAAUACCCACGGGUCAAAGGAGCAAUUCGCUCCAGGAGGGGGCCGCGGCCGAUUAGUUAGUUGGCGGGGUAAUGGCCCACCAAGACGAUGAUCGGUA
Molecule: ribosomal RNA, 245 nt
Filed under: uncultured bacterium
Lineage: Bacteria
Description: partial small subunit ribosomal RNA
Rfam family: Bacterial small subunit ribosomal RNA
Source: RNAcentral